UCCUACGGGACGCAGCAGUGAGGAAUAUUGGUCAAUGGACGAGAGUCUGAACCAGCCAAGUAGCGUGAAGGAUGACUGCCCUAUGGGUUGUAAACUUCUUUUAUAUGGGAAUAAAAUGUUCCACGUGUGGGAUUUUGUAUGUACCAUAUGAAUAAGGAUCGGCUAACUCCGUGCCAGCAGCCGCGGUAAUACGGAGGAUCCGAGCGUUAUCCGGAUUUAUUGGGUUUAAAGGGUGCGUAGGCGGAUCGUUAAGUCAGUGGUCAAAUUGAGGGGCUCAACCCCUUCCCGCCAUUGAAACUGGCGCU
This 305-nucleotide ribosomal RNA is filed under the name uncultured bacterium. RNAcentral's name for it is "bacterial SSU rRNA". It matches the Rfam family "Bacterial small subunit ribosomal RNA", at positions 337 to 640 of the family's 1533-position model. The record is from RNAcentral.